GAUGAACGCUGGCGGCGUGCCUAAUACAUGCAAGUCGAGCGAACAGACGAGGAGCUUGCUCCUCUGACGUUAGCGGCGGACGGGUGAGUAACACGUGGAUAACCUACCUAUAAGACUGGGAUAACUUCGGGAAACCGGAGCUAAUACCGGAUAAUAUAUUGAACCGCAUGGUUCAAUAGUGAAAGACGGUUUUGCUGUCACUUAUAGAUGGAUCCGCGCCGCAUUAGCUAGUUGGUAAGGUAACGGCUUACCAAGGCAACGAUGCGUAGCCGACCCGAGAGGGUGAUCGGCCACCCUGGAACUGAGACACGGUCCAGACUCCUACGGGAGGCAGCAGUAGGGAAUCUUCCGCAAUGGGCGAAAGCCUGACGGAGCAACGCCGCGUGAGUGAUGAAGGUCUUCGGAUCGUAAAACUCUGUUAUUAGGGAAGAACAAAUGUGUAAGUAACGAUGCACGUCUUGACGGUACCUAAUCAGAAAGCCACGGCUAACUACGUGC
This 498-nucleotide ribosomal RNA is filed under the name uncultured bacterium. RNAcentral describes it as "partial 16S ribosomal RNA". It matches the Rfam family "Bacterial small subunit ribosomal RNA", at positions 28 to 508 of the family's 1533-position model. The record is from RNAcentral.